UACGUAGGGGGCAAGCGUUAUCCGGAAUUACUGGGUGUAAAGGGAGCGUAGGCGGUCGGAUAAGUUAGAGGUGAAAUCCCGAGGCUCAACUUCGGAAUUGCCUCUGAUACUGUUCGGCUAGAGAGUAGUUGCGGUAGGCGGAAUGUAUGGUGUAGCGGUGAAAUGCUUAGAGAUCAUACAGAACACCGAUUGCGAAGGCAGCUUACCAAACUAUAUCUGACGUUGAGGCACGAAAGCGUGGGUAGCAAACAGG
This 253-nucleotide ribosomal RNA is filed under the name uncultured Rikenellaceae bacterium. RNAcentral describes it as "partial 16S ribosomal RNA". It matches the Rfam family "Bacterial small subunit ribosomal RNA", at positions 524 to 776 of the family's 1533-position model. The record is from RNAcentral. Lineage: Bacteria; Pseudomonadati; Bacteroidota; Bacteroidia; Bacteroidales; Rikenellaceae.